This 556-nucleotide long non-coding RNA is filed under the name Canis lupus dingo (dingo). RNAcentral's name for it is "lncRNA (ENSCAFG00020004257.1)". The record is from RNAcentral. Lineage: Eukaryota; Metazoa; Chordata; Mammalia; Carnivora; Canidae.
AUGCUUAAUAUUUCAGAAUAACAAUGCAAACGAAACCACUUAUGUGACAAUGAACAACACUAAGGAGUAGAAGAGUGGUAGUAGGCAAAAUUAAAUACCCUUUUGAAAUGCUUUGAAGGAAGCAAACUUUAAAACGAAUAUUAUAAAGAUGAAUGAACCUUUGACAACUGCUUAGAAGAAAUACGCUUUCAAAUUUCUCCCAUCAUCUUCAACUAUUACCCGGCCCUCCUUCAUUAUGAAAUACUAUUAAAGGUCUAAGUUAUAUCAUAAGAAGAUACUAAUUUCUGCCUUCAAGAAACUCAUCUGGGAUAGAGAUAUUCUCCAGUUUCCAAUCACAACAAGCAAUUCCAUAUCAAAAGCAACAUGGAGACAAUGUUGUCCUGCAUUCUUCAGUUCCAGAAGCCUGAGGAAGAAAGGCCCUCUGAGCUGUGAGCCCACGUUUCAGGGCUCACCAAGGCCCUCUGAGCUGUGAGCCCACGUUUCAGGGCUCACCGUGGUUAGGGAUUCCCAGAAGCAAGGGAAUAAAAUAAUUCUAGGUGCUAUGUACUAACGUUUG